This 585-nucleotide ribosomal RNA is filed under the name uncultured bacterium. RNAcentral describes it as "bacterial SSU rRNA". It matches the Rfam family "Bacterial small subunit ribosomal RNA", at positions 338 to 916 of the family's 1533-position model. The record is from RNAcentral.
CCUACGGGAGGCAGCAGUAGGGAAUCUUCCGCAAUGGGCGAAAGCCUGACGGAGCAACGCCGCGUGAGUGAAGAAGGAUUUCGGUUCGUAAAGCUCUGUUGUUAGGGAAGAAUGAUUGUAUAGUAACUAUAUACAGUAGAGACGGUACCUAACCAGAAAGCCACGGCUAACUACGUGCCAGCAGCCGCGGUAAUACGUAGGUGGCAAGCGUUGUCCGGAAUUAUUGGGCGUAAAGCGCGCGCAGGUGGUUUAAUAAGUCUGAUGUGAAAGCCCACGGCUCAACCGUGGAGGGUCAUUGGAAACUGUUAAACUUGAGUGCAGGAGAGAAAAGUGGAAUUCCUAGUGUAGCGGUGAAAUGCGUAGAGAUUAGGAGGAACACCAGUGGCGAAGGCGGCUUUUUGGCCUGUAACUGACACUGAGGCGCGAAAGCGUGGGGAGCAAACAGGAUUAGAUACCCUGGUAGUCCACGCCGUAAACGAUGAGUGCUAAGUGUUGGUCUCAUAAGAGAUCAGUGCUGCAGCUAACGCAUUAAGCACUCCGCCUGGGGAGUACGACCGCAAGGUUGAAACUCAAAGGAAUUGACGG